GACGCUACAAUGGCCGGUACAAUGGGUUGCCAAACCGCGAGGUGGAGCCAAUCCCAUCAAAGCCGGUCCCAGUUCAGAUUGCAGUCUGCAACUCGACUGCAUGAAGUCGGAAUUGCUAGUAAUCGCGAAUCAGCACGUCGCGGUGAAUACGUUCUCGGGUCUUGUACACACCGCCCGUCAGGGCACGGGAGUCGCUCUUGCUCGAAGUUCCCGAAUAAUUCGGGACCGAAAGUUAAGGGUGGCAACCAGGCUUAAGUCGUAACAAGGUAGCCGUAGA
RNAcentral lists this ribosomal RNA (277 nucleotides) under uncultured bacterium. Its description in RNAcentral is "partial 16S ribosomal RNA". It matches the Rfam family "Bacterial small subunit ribosomal RNA", at positions 1221 to 1506 of the family's 1533-position model. The record is from RNAcentral.